GGGCCUGUGGUGUAGCGGUUAACAUGCCUGCCUGUCACGCAGGAGAUCGCGGGUUCGAUCCGUCAGGCCCG
This 71-nucleotide transfer RNA is filed under the name Geomicrobium sp. JCM 19038. It matches the Rfam family "tRNA". Rfam says of the family: Transfer RNA (tRNA) molecules are approximately 80 nucleotides in length. Their secondary structure includes four short double-helical elements and three loops (D, anti-codon, and T loops). The record is from Rfam by way of RNAcentral. Lineage: Bacteria; Bacillati; Bacillota; Bacilli; Caryophanales.